Molecule: long non-coding RNA, 771 nt
Organism: Lethenteron reissneri (Far Eastern brook lamprey)
Lineage: Eukaryota; Metazoa; Chordata; Hyperoartia; Petromyzontiformes; Petromyzontidae
Source: RefSeq, a predicted model, not a curated record
CCUUGCCCCCCUCCCCCCUCAGCCACAGUGCCAAUGGCGAGCGAGGCGAGCGGUGGAGCAUGACUGGGGAGACAAAGGCGGCCGGGCGGGGGAUGCUAUCACCGCUGCAUCCCCCCCCCCCACGGAUGCUGAGGUGUUCACGUCUGGAUAGGUGCUCGCAGACCGGCACUUGCAAUGAGCGCGUGCGGGACGUGGACACUUUCUCGUGUCCACUUCGAACAUCCCACGGAUUCCUCGUGAGAGAUUGCAACACGGCGGGGAUGAUGGUGAUGAUGGUGGUGAUGGUGGUGAUGGUGAUGAUGGUGAUGAUGGUGAUGAUGAUGAUGAUGGUGGUGAUGAUGGUGAUGAUGGUGAUGAUGGUGAUGAUGAUGGUGAUGAUGGUGGUGGUGGUGGUGGUGAUGGUGAUGAUGGUGAUGAUGGUGAUGGUGGUGAUGAUGGUGAUGAUGGUGAUGAUGGUGGUGAUGGUGAUGAUGGUGAUGAUGGUGGUGAUGAUGCUGAUGAUGGUGAUGAUGGUGGUGAUGAUGGUGAUGGUGAUGAUGAUGGUGAUGAUGGUGAUGAUGGUGGUGGUGAUGACGACGAUGUCAUCGCGACCGAAGAUAAUUUUCCACGCAAAAACAUAUCAGAAAAAAUAUCUUGAAAUUAUGAUGAUGAUGUUGAUGAUUGAAUAAACUUUCUUUAAAUCAUUAAUUAAUGCUUAAUUCUAACUGCGACUUCCUGCCUCGUGUCACGCGCAUUUCACUGGUCAACACACUUCUUCUGGCAUAAGGUAUU